AAGCCUCUCGCACGAAGAUGAGCUCGCGGUCCAUUAGCUAGUUGGCGGGGUAAUGGCCCACCAAGGCGAUGAUGGAUAGCUGGUCUGAGAGGACGAUCAGCCACACUGGGACUGAGACACGGCCCAGACUCCGUACGGGAGGCAGCAGGUGGGGAAUCUUGCGCAAUGGACGAAAGUCUGACGCAGCAACGCCGCGUGAGUGAUGAAGGUCUUUGGAUCGUAAAGCUCUUUCGGGAGGGAAGAAAUGGUUGUGCGCUAAUACCGCAUAGCCUUGACGGUACCUUCAGAAGAAGCACCGGCUAACUCUGUGCCAGCAGCCGCGGUAAUACAGAGGGUGCAAGCGUUGUUCGGAAUCAUUGGGCGUAAAGCGAGUGUAGGCGGUCGAAAAGGUCGGGUGUGAAAUCCCAGGGCUUAACCCUGGAACUGCAUUCGAAACCGUUCGACUUGAGUACGGGAG
Molecule: ribosomal RNA, 457 nt
Filed under: uncultured bacterium
Lineage: Bacteria
Description: bacterial SSU rRNA
Rfam family: Bacterial small subunit ribosomal RNA
Source: RNAcentral